RNAcentral lists this ribosomal RNA (1451 nucleotides) under Klebsiella pneumoniae. RNAcentral describes it as "partial 23S ribosomal RNA". It matches the Rfam family "Bacterial large subunit ribosomal RNA", at positions 1512 to 2925 of the family's 2925-position model. The record is from RNAcentral. Lineage: Bacteria; Pseudomonadati; Pseudomonadota; Gammaproteobacteria; Enterobacterales; Enterobacteriaceae.
UUAAGCAUGUAGGCUGGUUAUCCAGGCAAAUCCGGAUAAUCAAGGCUGAGGUGUGAUGACGAGGCACUACGGUGCUGAAGUAACAAAUGCCCUGCUUCCAGGAAAAGCCUCUAAGCAUCAGGUAACAUCAAAUCGUACCCCAAACCGACACAGGUGGUCAGGUAGAGAAUACCAAGGCGCUUGAGAGAACUCGGGUGAAGGAACUAGGCAAAAUGGUGCCGUAACUUCGGGAGAAGGCACGCUGGUGUGUAGGUGAAGCCCCUGCGGGUGGAGCUGAGACCAGUCGAAGAUACCAGCUGGCUGCAACUGUUUAUUAAAAACACAGCACUGUGCAAACACGAAAGUGGACGUAUACGGUGUGACGCCUGCCCGGUGCCGGAAGGUUAAUUGAUGGGGUUAUCCGUAAGGAGAAGCUCUUGAUCGAAGCCCCGGUAAACGGCGGCCGUAACUAUAACGGUCCUAAGGUAGCGAAAUUCCUUGUCGGGUAAGUUCCGACCUGCACGAAUGGCGUAAUGAUGGCCAGGCUGUCUCCACCCGAGACUCAGUGAAAUUGAACUCGCUGUGAAGAUGCAGUGUACCCGCGGCAAGACGGAAAGACCCCGUGAACCUUUACUAUAGCUUGACACUGAACAUUGAGCCUUGAUGUGUAGGAUAGGUGGGAGGCUUUGAAGCGUGGACGCCAGUCUGCGUGGAGCCAACCUUGAAAUACCACCCUUUAAUGUUUGAUGUUCUAACGUUGGCCCCUGACCGGGGUUGCGGACAGUGUCUGGUGGGUAGUUUGACUGGGGCGGUCUCCUCCCAAAGCGUAACGGAGGAGCACGAAGGUUAGCUAAUCCUGGUCGGACAUCAGGAGGUUAGUGCAAUGGCAUAAGCUAGCUUGACUGCGAGCGUGACGGCGCGAGCAGGUGCGAAAGCAGGUCAUAGUGAUCCGGUGGUUCUGAAUGGAAGGGCCAUCGCUCAACGGAUAAAAGGUACUCCGGGGAUAACAGGCUGAUACCGCCCAAGAGUUCAUAUCGACGGCGGUGUUUGGCACCUCGAUGUCGGCUCAUCACAUCCUGGGGCUGAAGUAGGUCCCAAGGGUAUGGCUGUUCGCCAUUUAAAGUGGUACGCGAGCUGGGUUUAGAACGUCGUGAGACAGUUCGGUCCCUAUCUGCCGUGGGCGCUGGAGAAUUGAGGGGGGCUGCUCCUAGUACGAGAGGACCGGAGUGGACGCAUCACUGGUGUUCGGGUUGUCAUGCCAAUGGCACUGCCCGGUAGCUAAAUGCGGAAGAGAUAAGUGCUGAAAGCAUCUAAGCACGAAACUUGCCCCGAGAUGAGUUCUCCCUGAGACUUUAAGUCUCCUGAAGGAACGUUGAAGACGACGACGUUGAUAGGCCGGGUGUGUAAGCGCAGCGAUGCGUUGAGCUAACCGGUACUAAUGAACCGUGAGGCUUAACCUUACAACGCCGAAG